CAUCUCCCGGAGCGGGCUGGCAGCAGGUGGGCAGUGAGUCCGGGAGGACACGAGCCACAGUGGCCCGGAGUGCCCCCUCCACAGGCUGGCUGAGUGGGAGCUGGCUGCUGCCGGCGUGCUCACAGCGGCCGUGCAGAGCGUUCUCGGGGACGGCCGUGUGUGGGACCACUCAACCAGGGCUGCAUUUCUUGAUUUCCCUUGUAGGUGAUUUUUUCUUUGUUUUGCUUCUUGAGAAAGAUCCAGAGUGUGCAGCUCAUCUCGACUGGAGCUUUCACUCGGCACAGCAGGGGAGGCUGUGGGCUUCCCUCCAGCACCGACAGAACGCUGGGUGCGAAGCCGCUCGGAUGAGGGAUGGUACAACAUCUCCAGCUGUACUGAUGUUCGAGAAUUCUCCCAGGAAUUCUUUUCGCGAUACAUGUCCAGGCACUGGUCUCCAGGGCUUUGUGGGGCCAUUUGUUCCCUGGUCUUCUGGAAGUCUGAGGGUUGUGCAAUUGGCCCAUGCUCCUGUUGGCUUGUUCUUCCAUCAGUGGCUUCACCCCUCUCUGUUACUAGGAUCUGCAUGGAGCCCCUAAGACACGAGCCAUGGUCCCCCCAGCCUCCCCCCUCAGUCUUCGAGGACCGGCACUCCCCCAUCCAUCCUGUUCUGGAGUGGCUGAACGACUACUUGCUUCGACCACCUGGGCAGCCUGUGAUGUUCUGGGACCUCCGUGCCCAUUCGAGUGAAGUUGUAGGACCCCCUGGGGCCUCUUCUGCACCUUAAAUCUCAAGCACAUCCAACCUCCUGUUGGGAGAGAAAAAAAGAAUGAGGGAAAGUAAGGAGGGGAGAAGUCUGUCGAAGUUUGCCCUCCGCCUCCCAUCCAUCGGCCGCGUCAGACAGCUGACAACCUGGCUGCUCCCAAGCUUCAGAGCCAUCUCUCUGCUGUGAAAGGCUGGUCGCAGACCUGGUCUGGAGUUUUCACCCUUCAAGCCAUUAUCUGCUGUGUCAGCAGAGCCGUCGGUUGCAUUCAUAUUCACCACUUUGUUCCCAAGUCUAAUCUGGAAGAUACAAAACACAGAAGUGCCAGGAAUCCGCAAUUAGGCUCGCUGUGCAGCCAUCCUCCCGUGACACAGCUGUUGAUGGAAGCGAAGACCAUCCACGCGGAAACACCAUUGUCCAUUGUCAGUGCCCGUCAGUGCCUCUUUGCGUACUUGUCCCUCUGUGACCACACAGCUGGCCUCUUCCCACCCCUCUAAUGCCCACAGUGAAUCCAGAUCCAAACAAGCAACUUCCUCAGAACAACAGUGAGCCAACCCAACAUGAUGAGCAGGUAACCGGUACCCACGGAGCAUCUCGUCAGGAGGAGGAAAGAGGGCUCGUCUUGUGCACCACACAGCAAAGGCCGUGCUCUCCCCCACCCUCCCUGCCCUCUCUCGGCUCCUCACCGCACUCCUCUUCACCCUCGCAGAUUCUAGGAUCGCCUCUACCGUCCAGAGCUGUUUAGUCCCACGAUGACACAGGCAUGUGCUUAACUUGCCGUCUAAGAUCACGGGCAGCCCGGCCAUCUACCUGGUCCCUGGAGAUGCUCCUGUCUCCCAGGCAGCUCUCUGAUGUAUCCACAUGACGAUAGGAAGAGGGACAGGAAGGUGGGGGGGUGUACCGUGAGCAGCCGUCAGACCUGAUCUGCUCCACGACACAUGCAUGGGCACUGCCCCCCGCCUUCAGUCCCCGUAUUGUCCUGCAGGCCCCACUUGCUGCAUCUUUCCCACACACAAGAAAAUAGGCCAAAAAGGGUUUUGGAUAGUUAUCUUAUUUUAUUCCCUUUUUGUUUGUGUCUCUCUGCUGCCCUUGCCCCUCAGCUGUCCCCUAUCUCAAUCUGACGCACACAGUUUCCGUCUGUCCUCAUUUCUUCUCUUCCUUCGGAAAACAUCCAAGAUAAGGUCCCCUGUGACUUGUCUGGCAAUUUUGUCCUCGGCCAACCCAGCUUCAGCCCACGGGCUGCAGAGUCUUUUCUCCCCGGCAAACGAGAGCUCCUAAGAUCUCACCGCAGCACCUGGGAGGUGCUGCGUCACUACACGUUGGGACAAAGCAGAUGCCGAAAUAAAGGGAGUCCCGGGCUCCGUGCAGCAGGGUCAUCCACAGACCUGCCGCCUCCAGCUGCUAGCCCACAGGACAGGUCACAAGGAGGACGGGCCGCGCCGUCAUCGCCGGUCCCGAGCCACGAGAGGGGAGACGGGCAGGAGACGCUUCAUCGCCCCCGAGCCCUGCCCAGGGUGGGCCACGGAUGGAGGCCUCCCUCCAGGAGCUGAAGUUCCUUUAAAAACGACAAGCAUUGCUGCCCC
Long non-coding RNA from Equus caballus (horse), 2319 nucleotides. NCBI's taxonomy places the organism in Eukaryota, Metazoa, Chordata, Mammalia, Perissodactyla, Equidae. The record is from Ensembl.